AGAAAGCAGGGGACCUUCGGGCCUUGCGCUAUCAGAUGAGCCUAGGUCGGAUUAGCUAGUUGGUGAGGUAAUGGCUCACCAAGGCGACGAUCCGUAACUGGUCUGAGAGGAUGAUCAGUCACACUGGAACUGAGACACGGUCCAGACUCCUACGGGAGGCAGCAGUGGGGAAUAUUGGACAAUGGGCGAAAGCCUGAUCCAGCCAUGCCGCGUGUGUGAAGAAGGUCUUCGGAUUGUAAAGCACUUUAAGUUGGGAGGAAGGGCAUUAACCUAAUACGUUAGUGUUUUGACGUUACCGACAGAAUAAGCACCGGCUAACUCUGUGCCAGCAGCCGCGGUAAUACAGAGGGUGCAAGCGUUAAUCGGAAUUACUGGGCGUAAAGCGCGCGUAGGUGGUUCGUUAAGUUGGAUGUGAAAGCCCCGGGCUCAACCUGGGAACUGCAUUCAAAACUGACAAGCUAGAGUAUGGUAGAGGGUGGUGGAAUUUCCUGUGUAGCGGUGAAAUGCGUAGAUAUAGGAAGGAACACCAGUGGCGAAGGCGACCACCU
RNAcentral lists this ribosomal RNA (548 nucleotides) under Pseudomonas sp. P71413. Its description in RNAcentral is "bacterial SSU rRNA". It matches the Rfam family "Bacterial small subunit ribosomal RNA", at positions 201 to 730 of the family's 1533-position model. The record is from RNAcentral. Lineage: Bacteria; Pseudomonadati; Pseudomonadota; Gammaproteobacteria; Pseudomonadales; Pseudomonadaceae.